RNAcentral lists this ribosomal RNA (433 nucleotides) under uncultured bacterium. Its description in RNAcentral is "partial 16S ribosomal RNA". It matches the Rfam family "Bacterial small subunit ribosomal RNA", at positions 29 to 507 of the family's 1533-position model. The record is from RNAcentral.
AACGAACGCUGGCGGCAUGCCUAACACAUGCAAGUCGAACGAAGCCUUCGGGCUUAGUGGCGCACGGGUGCGUAACGCGUGGGAAUCUGCCCCUUGCUUCGGAAUAACAGUUAGAAAUGACUGCUAAUACCGGAUGAAGUCUUCGUACCAAAGAUUUAUCGGCAAGGGAUGAGCCCGCGUAGGAUUAGGUAGUUGGUGGGGUAAAGGCCUACCAAGCCGACGAUCCUUAGCUGGUCUGAGAGGAUGAUCAGCCACACUGGGACUGAGACACGGCCCAGACUCCUACGGGAGGGGGGAGUGGGGAAUAUUGGACAAUGGAGGCAAGGCUGAUCCAGCAAUGCCGCGUGAGUGAUGAAGGCCUUAGGGUUGUAAAGAUCUUUUACAAGGGAUGAUAAUGACAGUACCUGGAGAAUAAGCUCCGGCUAACUCCGUG